UGGAAAAAUUGGCAUGCUUCAUACAAUAAAUGGCUUGUGAGGUACAUGUAUAUUCCUCUUGGAGGUACGCAUAGAAAGCUACUCAAUAUAUGGAUUGUAUUCACAUUUGUUGCUUUAUGGCAUGAUCUAGAGUGGAAACUUCUUUCAUGGGCAUGGUUGACAUGUUUAUUCUUUAUUCCAGAAAUGAUGGUGAAAUCAGUG
Molecule: unclassified non-coding RNA, 201 nt
Filed under: Hevea brasiliensis (rubber tree)
Lineage: Eukaryota; Viridiplantae; Streptophyta; Magnoliopsida; Malpighiales; Euphorbiaceae
Source: RNAcentral